Molecule: ribosomal RNA, 79 nt
Filed under: Kocuria rhizophila
Lineage: Bacteria; Bacillati; Actinomycetota; Actinomycetes; Micrococcales; Micrococcaceae
Description: partial 16S ribosomal RNA
Rfam family: Bacterial small subunit ribosomal RNA
Source: RNAcentral
UUUUUGACGGAGAGUUUGAUCCUGGCUCAGGACGAACGCUGGCGGCGUGCUUAACACAUGCAAGUCGAACGCUGAAGCU